AACGCCUUUUGUAUGUUUCUUAAU
This 24-nucleotide non-coding RNA is filed under the name Arabidopsis thaliana (thale cress). Lineage: Eukaryota; Viridiplantae; Streptophyta; Magnoliopsida; Brassicales; Brassicaceae. The record is from RNAcentral.